RNAcentral lists this long non-coding RNA (244 nucleotides) under Eutrema salsugineum. RNAcentral describes it as "long non-coding RNA (ESAL_LNC002141)". Lineage: Eukaryota; Viridiplantae; Streptophyta; Magnoliopsida; Brassicales; Brassicaceae. The record is from RNAcentral.
GACCAGGUCCAUUGAAGUAUUUUAACUAGGUUUAGGUGGAUUUCAUAGAGAAUCUUGGGUUUAAAAAAAAAAGGAAAAAGUCCACAAGUUAUGGACCGAUCCUUGUAGAAGGAUUAUAUGGAUCGAUCCAUAAACUAUUCACGAGUACACGUGGCGAUUCAACAUUGGUUGAGAGGAAAAAAAAAGUGGGAAGCAUUUUGGGGUCGUGCAGGAUUUCUCUCUCCCCGACAAAUCUCAUUCUCAA